Molecule: long non-coding RNA, 290 nt
Organism: Hippocampus comes (tiger tail seahorse)
Lineage: Eukaryota; Metazoa; Chordata; Actinopteri; Syngnathiformes; Syngnathidae
Exons: 2
Source: RefSeq, a predicted model, not a curated record
UGCUAACGACCGGCUGGCAGCGGCGGUUGUGACAGCCUGCGAAAAUUCAAGGACGCGUGACAUUUAAGUUGACUAGAGUGUUUCCCUCCCAGGGUGGAAUUCAAAUGACUGGCAUAUGGCAUUGGGGAGGAAAAAUUUUCAUUGAUGAUGCUCCGAGUCUCCCUGUAGAUGACACUGCAUUGGAUGCUGAAAAGCAUCCUCUUUUCUGCCACGAAUGUCAGGUUGUCCAAUUCUGCGCCCAUGAGAGAGCCCGUUUUCCUCCUCUGAAAAAAAAAAAACCGUUUAAAAUA